This is a non-coding RNA of Dermacentor albipictus, 1607 nucleotides long. The record is from RefSeq and is a predicted model, not a curated record. Lineage: Eukaryota; Metazoa; Arthropoda; Arachnida; Ixodida; Ixodidae.
UCGGGCUCUUCCUUUUUGCUUCAAAAUCAAGGUAUUUCGCAUUUGGCACUUCCAAAUUUUAGCAGGGGUUGUUUUUAAACGUGUAGGUACCUCAUUCCUUGUGAAAAUCGGGCGGGGAAGGGUUUUAUUUUCGAUUUUUGGGCGAUUUUGGGUAUUGGCCAUGGCUCAUACCCUUUGAGCCUGAGCCCGGCCAUGCCCAAUACCGCCAGAGACCAUAAGGUCUCGCCGUCCCCGCCUGCAACAGCCAGCGCGGGUGCGUCGCCGAAAUCGGAUUUUUCCGAUGCCGGCGACGACAUCCUCGCGGCCAUCGCGUUACAGGACGAAACGACGGACUGGACCGCGCCGCCUGCGGCGGGAGACGAAGACGACCGGCUGUCCUCGGUGUCCCAGGCGACCGCGGUGGCGUCUCCCGCGCUCGCGGGUGACCGCGGCGAGCGGGGGCAGGCUCGCCUUCACGAGAUCGAGGACGAAAUCCAGCAAUACUGCUCGAACGCUGCGAACAAGGUACCCGUCGCGGCGCGCGGCUUCAUCGCGGGCCGGCUAUACGAGAUCGUCCGCAUGUACUCGGACCUGCGGUCGGACGUGUUGGUGGAGCGGGGCGCGGCCGGCGCCCUGCGUGGCGAGUUGGUCGAGGCGCGCCGGGAGGUCGCGGCGCUGCAGCGACGGGCCAUCGUCGCCGAGGGCCGCCUCGACGGCUCCAUCGUCAUGGCACCCAGUCCGAGGAGUGCGGGACGCGAUCCCGGCGCGUCCGCGGCGGCUGCCGGCUCGGGCCCUGGUGUUCCGGCCGCGGCGGCGGGCGCCGUCAGCUACGCCGCGGCGCUGAGGGCGUCGCCCGCUGCGGGGUCGAGCGGCGGGGGCGCGCGGACGGCACCGACUUUCGAGCACGUGGCCUUCCUCACGCCCACGGUUCCGACGACGACACCGGCGCGGGAUGCCUUACGCCUACUGAAGACCAACAUCGACCCGGCCGCCAAGAAUAUCGGGGAGGUCACGCUGCGGCACACAAGUUCAUCUGCAAUUCUACGCUGUUGACGCCGGAGGCACCCUACACCGACUGUCCUUCCUGCGGUACCUGUGCGAUGCGGCAGCAGCUGUCACGGAGACUCGUUUACCAAGCACGCCUAGAAAGGGAUGUCACGAUUUUGUGAGCCAGAGGAAUCUACACCACUUGGGAGCCUGCGGCACUUCUGCAGGCUGAACAGCUCGUCAAAGCAUCUGAUUUGCAUGCUGCGACAAGGUGUGUGCAAGACGGUCACUGCCACUCACAUGAGAUGUCGGUACUCAUUACUUCAUUCCUUGGAAGUGAUAUUCUUGGUCCCAACCAAGCAGCCCGGAAGAAAUCGGAGACAAAUAAAAUGUGCAAAGAAUACUAUUGUGUCUGUUAUUUUAUUGCAUGCAUGCAUGCCAGUUCCCCAUAGUGGGGCUACAGAAAUUCUCUCUAAUGUCUGCCUAAAUGCUGUAAUCCUGUGACCACAAUCUCGACAGACUUUCUGCAGAAAUGCUGUAUCCUGCAGCUACACAGAUUGAGCAGACUUUCUGCAGAAAGGGUGUACCAAUUGGGCGCUGGGAGGUGACAGGGGGUGACAGAAAGUCUGUCACCUGUCUUC